This is a long non-coding RNA of Sarcophilus harrisii (Tasmanian devil), 4946 nucleotides long. RefSeq lists it as uncharacterized. The transcript is spliced from 2 exons. NCBI's taxonomy places the organism in Eukaryota, Metazoa, Chordata, Mammalia, Dasyuromorphia, Dasyuridae. The record is from RefSeq and is a predicted model, not a curated record.
AAACGGCCCCCCGCCCCGCCCCGCCCCAGCCUACCUCCUUCCCCGCCCCCCACCCCACCCCCGCAAAGCCUCGCUCCGCCCUCUCAGCCGUUUCUUUCCUCCCCCACUCGCCUUCCUUUCCCUCUCCUCCCCAGAGGGGAGUCACGUGACCCGAGCCUAGCCGAAGCUCGGGCGCGGAACAGGAAAAAUCUGGCGGAGGCCGAUAAGAGAACCAGGAACCAGGGCGAGGCGUUGCUAAGGGGCGGUUGCUAGGGCGGUGCUCGGGGGACUCGCUCUAUAUAAGGGCCGAGGCCGCUACUGGCUCUGAGUACGCCUUUCUUCUGCUUGCUUGUUUGUCUACAAUUAGCGAGCCGAGGAGCCCGGCCUUGUGGUCACGUGCGUCCUCGCAACCAAUCCAGUGCUUUGUUGUAGGCAGGCGGGCACUAAGGCCGGAGGAGAGCUGCGGGGCCUCGGUUCGGUUGGGCUACGGUGGGGGCUGGCGGCCGGGGGUGGGAGAAGGGCCUGGGCCCACCUCGGGCAGUCGUUUCCAUUUAUCUCAUUCCCUCUUCCGACCCAUAGACAGCCGCAAGUUUCACACCCUAAUAGUCCCGUGGUCCUAGAGGAGACCCUCCCCUAAACUUACUAGGGGGCGGGGCGCCCUUAGCCUGCGCUAAAGGCUCCAGAUGCAGGCCGGCCUCCUCAUGUGCGCGAGUGUUCGUUUCCAACGCUUCGAAAAAUGCAGAACAUUUCUAGAAAUGGGUCGUAGCGGAAGGUCAGGCGGGAUUCUACGCCCGCACCUUGUCUCUGACCUCCAUUUUGACGUGUUGGUCCGGAGAGGUGCAGUCUCUGCGGAUAAACACGCUUGACUUGUGCACAUCUAUGGGGGAAAAAAAAAUCUAAGAACGGCUUAAACACAGAGAUCCUGUGGGCAAUAGCCGAAUUUCGGGGUCUCUGAAGCUCUAGCGUUCGGCUUCAUCUCACUUUUGUCAGGAACCGGAGGGUCUCGAGCAGGACGACACAGGAAGGGUGAGGAGGAAAUCGACAAACAAACAAACAACAACAAAAAACCCCGUGGUGUGGUUGUGCUUCCUGCUUGGAACGAGGUGGUUCUCCUAUAGUCUGAGGCGUCCUGAGGGGACGGAAUUAGAGACUGUCCUCGCGUUGGGUUUCCCAGAGAAAAACGAGGUUUAACGGUUCUGCCUCUCUGAGGUCUGUAGUACCAUUUGCACCUAGUAAAAGGUUUGAAGAAGGCGGGAAAUGAGAUGACUAUUGACUGACUGAAGGACGGAGCUUGUUUAAAAAGCUCGGUCAGCUGGUUCUGAAGUCAGGCAUGAGAAUGAACUCUUCAGCUGAAAACGGAACGUACUUGAACGUUGAGAAAAAUCAAACAGCUAUGAAGAAUUCGGCCACUGAGAGAGGAUUUUGUUGUUGUUUUUAUGCCUCUCUUGCCAUCCCAUCAGCCUUGGCAUCUUGCAGUGGGGCAGCUUGCUCGGGAGGGCCCCAUAGAAGCUGAUGUCCUCAGUGGAGAACUGGCCCAGAGAGAGUCCAGCUGGGAGCUGAGCUGAGCUGCAAAAAGGAGCAGGCCCAGGGAGCCAGCAGAGCGGCCUGCCCAGUAGAGGCACUGUGCCCACAGCGAGCACUGGAGGAGAACAAUAGGAGAGAAAGCAUCGGGGCCCUGUAGGGUUAGAUGUGUGACUUCUCUUGGCCCUAUCACCACCACAUGUCUGCCGCAGCGCUAGUUAAUACUCUGUGUGUUCACCUCCAUUUUCCACUGAUAGCAUUAUGUAGGGAAAAUGUCCAGGUUUAUAAAAGAAAUGUUGUGUUACUAUUAUGCCAUUCAGUGAAUGCUUUUGCUUUGACCUAUCAUCUGGCCCACUAUUCAUCAUCUUUUAUACUAGGGUAGAUUCUUGUGAACUUUUAAUGUAGACUCCAAAAAAUACCCUAUGAUUUCCUUAGUGUAGGAAACUCGGAGAUGAAAAAACUUCCUCUACCAACUCAGUAUCUCCUCUGCUACUUACAAAUCUAAAGAAUCACCUAAGGCACUGAGAGUCACUCAUCGGGGUCGCACUGUCAGAAACCGCAGCUGAACUCAGGACUUCUAGCUCCAAGGCUAGAUCUCCUUUGACCGUGCUGCCUCUCUUGUAUUCUCAAUACACUCAUACAUGACUUUUUAUCCCAGGGAAUUAAGAAUACUAUGUACUAGUAUUGUUGGCUUCCUUCUGUAAAAAGAAAACGGGAGCACUAUUUUCCAGAUUUCUGCUCUCUGUGGUAAACUGAUGACUUUGACAGUCACUAGUAAAGGCUCACAGUUAUGUGUCUUUAAACCUCACAGUACUGAGAAGUAUAUGCUAUUACUAUCUCCAUUUUAUAGAUCAGAAAAUUGAGCCUCACAGAGGUUAAGUGCCUUGAGUCAGAGAGCUAUCAAAUAUCUGGGGCAGGAUUUGAACCCAAAUGUUUCUGAUCCGCUAUUCCACACUGCCUCCUCAAAAUGGAAAUAACUUGCAAGAAAGAUUCAUCUCAAAUCUGUCACACUACCUUGGGGCAAAUCAUUCCUCACUCAGAAACUCCCUCUCUGUAAAAUGAGGGUGGGAUUAAGAUCUCUUCUUUACCUAAAAUCUUAUAAUUUAGCCAGGCAUACAAGACAUAGCAGUAGAAGAAGGAAAAAAUGAGACUUAGCAGAGAGGAAGGUCUAAUGAUUGAGAUAUCAUUCCUGGCCAACCUACAAAGAUUACUGAUUGGCCGCAGCAGACUCCACCUACUCCAGAAGAAUGUCAUAGAAGAUAGACAUGAGAAAAAAAGAGAAUGAAUAGUGGCUACAAUUUACCUUAACCAAUGUUGUUUUAUCUCCUUUGUGAAUGUAUAAAGCAAAUAGGUAAUGAUAAAAAAGCAGGUAUCUCUAGUUCCUAAAUAUCUUGUAGGUCAGUCAGUAAGCAAUUAUUAAAUUUUUACUGCGGACCAACCACUUUUAAGCAAUGGAGACACAAGAAAAAAGCAAAAGCACAGUCUACUCUCAAGAUACAUUCUAAGAAGGGAGAUCACUUUACAAAUAACUAUAUCCAAGAUAAAUAUACUGUAAAUGGAAAUUGAGGCCAUAUAGUAUAAUUUAACUACCAGGAAGUGACAACAGCAGAUGGACUGUGCUGCUGUGUGGUAAAUUUGUGACCGAGUGACUCAAUUUUUACCACACAGGCCUUUGGCAUAAGGAGACAGACUGGUACAGUCUCAUAAAUAAUGGCAGAUCUUCUAAACCAGUCAAACACAAUUUGUGUGUGCUCAAUAGGGAAAGAAAGGUACUUUCUAUGAGCACUUAUUAAGCAUUCUAUGUGCAAACCUCUAUGAAAGUAUGUGCAGGAAGUCCCUGCUAAAAUGAACCUAAGAGUCUAAAUAGGAAUAAGACAUACAAGUAACUCUAAUAAAAAAUAGGACAGAAGAGUGUGUAAGAAAGGUACAGAUGCUGUGCAAGGUGGUGGGAGGCAGAGGAGAAUGGAGAUUAUCUGGGACAAGAAGGAUCAGGAGGACUUCAGAGAGGAGGUACAGAAAGGACAAUUGAAGACAAGGGAAAUGGGAGAUUACACAUCGACUCAGCUAGCAUGUAAAAUACUUAGAAGGCUAAGUGUGAUGAGGAAGUAAGGUAGAUUGGCAGUUGAUUGUAAAAGACCUACAACUCUUAAGUUAUUGACUGAACAUUUUUAAAAGGUACUGGAAAAAAAAGUGUAGUUCAGGGGCCUGAUAUGACAUUUUUCAUUGGAAAAUCAUUAGAAUCAUCGUUGAUGACAAAGGUCACCAGCUGUAUAUAGGCUGACUUGUCUGGUAUGAGAAAAGCAAACAUAUCAUAAAUGUUCCUGCCAUUAAUCUACAAAUUAAUACAUAUUGGCUCAGGGAUGACAAAGUCAGUGCCUGGGAGGAAAAGAGCAAUACUCUUAAGUGAGAACCAAGAACCCAACUUGUUCAGUCACUUAAGACAUCAUUUCACCCCUCUUCCUCUAUUAGCCAGGCUAGAAGAUACUAAAGAGUGAGUUGAGGUGUAGAAGUAAAUGAGACAAAUAGUCGGCUGUAAUGUUGAGGUAGGCUGUAAGGGACAGAAGAAAAGAGGAAGGGAAAAAGUAUUAGAGAAAAGAAAAGGCAUAGAAAUAAAAAUAAACCCUCGAACUCUAGGAUUCUUGAGCUCAUGGUUCAAUUUAAUUGAAUGAGGGAGGAAGGAGAAAAUUAUAUAGAAACUAGUACAUCCAUGGUGUGUCUGACAGUCGUUCUCUAACCUCUAGGAGAAGCAGGAGAAAAGGGAGUAGAUUCCAACAGAAGGGAUUUACAUCAAAAGAAUGCUGGUAAUUUUUUUUUAUGUCAGUUUUGUUUCCAGUAAAGUCCACUUCGAAAUAAGUAAAAUUGUAAAUGUUUAUUUAAAUUUGACAGCUUAAAGGAAAAUUUCAUAAAAUGCCCACAUAAUUGAAACUGGAGCCUAGGACUUGACUUGUUUAGGUUGGACUAGGUUUCUGAGGUCCCUUCCAAAAUUAAAAUUCUGUGAUUUCAAUUCUUAUAGUCGGAGAUAGUCUACUAUUACUUUGCUCUGAAUUUCAAAGAGCUCACAUUACCCUCAUUGAGCGUCAUUUUCCCUUUGACACAAGAACAUAGUGACUACCUUGACUUCUUAUGGUUCAAGUUCAUGUCUGUGAGCUCUAAUGUUUUUGAAUAAAAGAUGCCUUGCUAAUGUAAACUCUUUUAAAAGGGCCCAGUUGAACAGGUCAGCUGACUCAGAUUAUAAUUUUGAAUCCAUUCCAAAAGUUACUUUAAAAAGCCUCAUCUGUCUGGAAACCCAUUGCUCUGAAACCUCAACCUGGUUUUUGUUUUGUUUUUGAAAUAAGCUUUCAUGCAGCCUCACGAUUCUAGAAUAUAUUUGAGAAGUAGCACAAAUGAGUAAAGACCUCUGAUUAGACAAAGUAGGUAUCAGAAAGUUGGUCUACUAAAAUCAUAAA